RNAcentral lists this ribosomal RNA (247 nucleotides) under Rhizophagus irregularis. Lineage: Eukaryota; Fungi; Glomeromycota; Glomeromycetes; Glomerales; Glomeraceae. The record is from RNAcentral.
CAGUCGUACCUGCGGGUAAUCAGCCUUUUGGGCAUGAUUCUGUGGAGCGUGAGGAGUUAAACGCCUUCAUGCCUGCACCAUUCGUGUGCUUUGGGUGUACUUGCCUGUGUGGUUAGUUAACAUCAAUUUUGGUUAUCAUAAAAUGGUUGGAGGAAUGUAGCUUCGAUCUCGUAUUGAAGUGUUAUAGCCUUUCGGCUAGAUGUGAUGAUCGGGAUUGGAGGAUUGCGAACGGAUUACCCGUUCGGGG